RNAcentral lists this ribosomal RNA (356 nucleotides) under uncultured bacterium. RNAcentral describes it as "bacterial SSU rRNA". It matches the Rfam family "Bacterial small subunit ribosomal RNA", at positions 29 to 412 of the family's 1533-position model. The record is from RNAcentral.
AACGAACGCUGGCGGCAUGCCUAACACAUGCAAGUCGAACGAGACCUUCGGGUCUAGUGGCGCACGGGUGCGUAACGCGUGGGAAUCUGCCCUUGGGUUCGGAAUAACAGUUAGAAAUGACUGCUAAUACCGGAUAAUGUCUUCGGACCAAAAGAUUUAAUCGCCCAGGGAUGAGCCCGCGUAGGAUUAGCUAGUUGGUGAGGUAAAGGCUCACCAAGGCGACGAUCCUUAGCUGGUCUGAGAGGAUGAUCAGCCACACUGGGACUGAGACACGGCCCAGACUCCUACGGGAGGCAGCAGUGGGAAUAUGGACAAUGGGCGAAAGCCUGAUCCAGCAAUGCCGCGUGAGUGAUGAA